CGUCAAUACAAACAACUGCACUGUUAUUUUUAUUUGUGGUUUCAGACAUGUUGAAAUGAUGAACUGAAAUUCAUAUGAAACUCUAAGAACUGACGAUUUUGUUGAAAUUAAAAUGUAUCAGACCAUUUUACUUGACAUAUCUUCUAGCAAACAACGUAUCUUGAAAAUAAACUUCACGACCCGAUAAACUUUGUUUUAAAAGAAGGUUUGACGUUUUUAGGAAUGAAUACAGUAAUAGUAG
RNAcentral lists this long non-coding RNA (241 nucleotides) under Mytilus galloprovincialis (Mediterranean mussel). Lineage: Eukaryota; Metazoa; Mollusca; Bivalvia; Mytilida; Mytilidae. The record is from RNAcentral.